Anas platyrhynchos (mallard) is the source of this 498-nucleotide long non-coding RNA. RefSeq lists it as uncharacterized. Lineage: Eukaryota; Metazoa; Chordata; Aves; Anseriformes; Anatidae. The record is from RefSeq and is a predicted model, not a curated record.
GAGGAGGAGGAGGAGGAGGAGGAGGAGGAGAAGGAGGAGGAGGAGGAAGGAGGAGGAGGAGGAGAAGGGAAGGUAACGGGGGGCCAAGAGGGGAGGAAGCUCGGAUCCUCCGGCGGGUCCGGUGCUAAGCGCAAAGCCAGCACACCCUCGGGGCUGCCUCCCAAGGGGCUCCCCCCGCCCGGCCCCGCUCCCUCCCCACCGCCGCCUCCUCCCAGCCGAACCUGCCCGCCAAGCCCAGCCGUCCCCAGCUCCAUGGAGCCUUCAGGGUCCCUCCGGUGACAUUUCCCACCCGCACGGCCGCUUUCCGCUGCUUCAGGGUCGUUUUGGCACGCAGUUUCUCCGCGCGCAUCCCAGCGCCGGGCCGGUGCGGCACGGCUGGCCCCGCUGCUGUCACACACCAGCCCGCCUCGCCGCUCCUCUUCCUUCCACGGCGAUGGUUCGCUGGGGGAAAGGAGCGUUCCCAGAAAUAAACCAGGCUGAUGACAAGCUGAAAAAUGC